Molecule: ribosomal RNA, 301 nt
Filed under: uncultured bacterium
Lineage: Bacteria
Description: partial 16S ribosomal RNA
Rfam family: Bacterial small subunit ribosomal RNA
Source: RNAcentral
CAGCCGCCACGGUAAUACAGAGGAUGCAAGCGUUAUCUAGAAUGAUUGGGCGUAAAGCGUCUGUAGGUGGCUUUUCAAGUCCGCCGUCAAAUCCCAGGGCUCAACCCUGGACAGGCGGUGGAAACUACCAAGCUGGAGUACGGUAGGGGCAGAGGGAAUUUCCGGUGAGCGGUGAAAUGCGUUGAGAUCGGAAAGAACACCAGUGGCGAAGGCGACUCUCUGGUCUGUAACUGACGCUGAGGAGCGAAAGCGUGGGGAGCGAACAGGAUUAGAGACCCGGGUAGUUCCUGUCUCUUAUACA